Molecule: small nuclear RNA, 99 nt
Organism: Mus spicilegus (steppe mouse)
Lineage: Eukaryota; Metazoa; Chordata; Mammalia; Rodentia; Muridae
Source: Ensembl
GUAAUAAUUAAAAACAAUACUCAAAUAGAAAUGAUACAGAGAAUACCCUGGCCCCUGUGCAAGGAUGACAUGCAUUUUUGUGUCUCAUUCCAUGUUUUU